UGGGCAACCUGCCCUCAGCUCUGGGAUAACUCCAAGAAAUUGGGGCUAAUACCGGAUAUGACUGCUGACCGCAUGGUCUGGUGGUGGAAAGAUUUAUCGGCUGGGGAUGGGCCCGCGGCCUAUCAGCUUGUUGGUGGGGUAGUGGCCUACCGAACGGC
This 158-nucleotide ribosomal RNA is filed under the name uncultured bacterium. RNAcentral describes it as "partial 16S ribosomal RNA". It matches the Rfam family "Bacterial small subunit ribosomal RNA", at positions 118 to 274 of the family's 1533-position model. The record is from RNAcentral.